AUUGCAAAAUGGGCGAAAGCCCGAUGCAGCAACGCCGCGUGGGCGAUGAAGGCCUUCGGGUCGUAAAGCCCUUUUUGAGGGGAUGAGGAAGGACAGUACCCUCAGAAUAAGCCUCGGCUAACUACGUGCCAGCAGCCGCGGUAAAACGUAGGAGGCGAGCGUUAUCCGGAUUUACUGGGCGUAAAGCGCGUGCAGGCGGAUUGGAGAGUUGUAUGUGAAAGCUCCCGGCUUAACUGGGAGAGGUCGUUCAAUACUUCCAGGCUUGAGUGCAGUAGAGGGAAGUGGAAUUCCGGGUGGAGUGGUGAAAUGCGUAGAUACCCGGAGGAACACCAGUGGCGAAAGCGGCUUCCUGGACUGUAACUGACGCUCAGACGCGAAAGCUAGGGUAGCAAACG
This 395-nucleotide ribosomal RNA is filed under the name uncultured bacterium. RNAcentral's name for it is "bacterial SSU rRNA". It matches the Rfam family "Bacterial small subunit ribosomal RNA", at positions 363 to 774 of the family's 1533-position model. The record is from RNAcentral.